RNAcentral lists this long non-coding RNA (543 nucleotides) under Meleagris gallopavo (turkey). Its description in RNAcentral is "lncRNA (ENSMGAG00000019374.1)". Lineage: Eukaryota; Metazoa; Chordata; Aves; Galliformes; Phasianidae. The record is from RNAcentral.
GAUAUGCAUAGGAUAACACAGUAAUAAUACUACUCGUCAUUUCAUCUCAAAUGACUUAACUUGGCAUAAUUACUUUUUAUUCUUAAGUUUCUUGUUCAACUUUUUAAAUGAAAACUUUUCUUCUUUUCUAGUGACACACAAAGACAGAUCAGAAAAACAAGAAAAACCUGAAAAAAGGGAGAGGCAUGCAGUGAUCCAUAGAGAGAAAUCUGAAAAGCAUGAAAAAAAACCACCUUCUAAAGUAAUUCAGAAACACAAACUUGAAAGACAUGAAAGAACUGAAAAGAAACCUCCUCCCAAAGGUAUUUAUUUAUUUAUACUUUUUUUUUUAACUGGAGUUUAUUUCAAAAUUUAAAAACUUUAAUUAAUUGGAGUAGAUAAUAGAACGUAUAUGAAAAAUCAUCUACAUUACACUAAAAUUUGAAUGAAUUAAAACAUCUUAAGAGCAACCAGAGGUUAGUUCUAUGCAUAAACCAUUUGAACUCGUUGAAAUUUCAGUGACUGAAAUCCAAAGAAUCAAGGAGUGUUGGGUCAAAUCUCUUG